RNAcentral lists this small RNA (59 nucleotides) under Arabidopsis thaliana (thale cress). RNAcentral's name for it is "ATSL145160". Lineage: Eukaryota; Viridiplantae; Streptophyta; Magnoliopsida; Brassicales; Brassicaceae. The record is from RNAcentral.
AUAUAUAUUAAUAAUGAAAAUCUUUUUUUAUCUUGACAGAUUAAAGAAGAAGAAAAAAA